RNAcentral lists this long non-coding RNA (569 nucleotides) under Oryctolagus cuniculus (rabbit). RNAcentral's name for it is "lncRNA (ENSOCUG00000032960.1)". The record is from RNAcentral. Lineage: Eukaryota; Metazoa; Chordata; Mammalia; Lagomorpha; Leporidae.
CAGGCGGAGGAUUAGCCUAUUGAGCUGUGGCACUGGCCUAACAAAUGCACUUUUAAUUACAUAUAUUUGUAUAAAGUGACCCUUGAACAAUGCAGGCUUUGGGAUGCUGACACCUCCACAGCAAAACAAAAAGAAUUUAAGAACCUUGUGAAAAGAUUGUUGCAGCUUUUUUACUAUUUUAAAAGAUUAAAGUUGUCAACUUUAAAAUGAAUUUCUGAAAAUUGUCAACUUGAUCAGCUUUAAGAACAAGUAGAUCACUUCUGACUCUACUGAAUAGCAAGCAUGAAGUGAUUCCCUAUACUGCUGCAUCAUGGAGAAGUACUUGUACAUGGAGAUGUACAAGGACCUUGAUGAAGAUGAGCUCCUUGGGAAUCCGUCCGAAGUGGAACUGAAACAACUGGAAACUGUCUGGAUGAUCUUGAUCCUGAGCAAACUGGGCAAAUGCCUUUGCAAUGGUGACAACUAAUUGGCAUGUCGAGUGUGCACAAAUUAACUAUCAGCUCUGAAACUGGAUUGCCUUGUAAGGUAAUCACAUCUAUUGACCAAGACUAGACUUGGUUGGAAAGUUG